Molecule: long non-coding RNA, 1021 nt
Filed under: Olea europaea subsp. europaea
Lineage: Eukaryota; Viridiplantae; Streptophyta; Magnoliopsida; Lamiales; Oleaceae
Source: RNAcentral
ACAAGGCCAUGGUUAACUAGAAGUUCCCUCGAGUUUAAAUUAUUUGAUCUGUGAAAGGCAAGCUAGGUGGUUAUUGAGAUUAAAUGACUGAAUCCAUUGUUCUCUCUUUCAGAUGAUCUAAUGAUUCACCAGCGUUCUUUCAGAGGAUACUUGUGGAUUAGACAGAUUCGUGAGAUUCACUAAUGUAACCAGAUCUUGAGGUUUUACUCUCAAAACCAUGUUCAUAUGGUAUGGAUUAUGGCCCCGAAUUUACUCUGCAGAGCAGGAAUUUUAAUAUAUUUCAAAUUUCUCUCGUUCAAGAUGGCGCAAAGUUACUAUUAAUACCAGCAGCAUUACUUGAUUAGUUUGCUUGACUAUGAAUGUGUUACUAUAUGGCAUGGUGGGUUCCUUUUCUUGUAUAAUUAUUGUCAGAUUGUAGUUUUAAGUGGACUAUAUACAUAAUAGUGUGACUUUAUAAGCCAUCUUUGUAGUGUUCCCUGUUUCUGGUAUGGUUUAAAUUUCUGUAUGUGCUCGACUGUUAUAGCCUUAUAGUACAUUAACAUACUUCUUAAGAGCAUGUUUGGUUGGACUUAUAAGUUGUUUUUCUAGAAGUUCUGUUAGUCAACUUUGAAAAUCUUGUUUGCAAAAUAAGUGAGUUAAUUUGACUCGCUGUUAAGCACAACUAAACAUGCUAUGAAGUUUUGUUUCUGAUAAGUUUGGAGCUGGUUACUCGAAUCUUUUGUCAUCGGUAGGUUCUCUUCAUUAGUAGAUUUACUGAGAGACAUAUGGAGACACUAAUGGUAAUUAGUUGCUUUCAGUUGUUUGAGCAUUGGAAAAAUGCUAUGACUUUCUGUUGUGCAAUAAUGUGUUAUAUGCAACUGCGUACCAAACACGUCUCUUUCUGUUUAUAGUCUCGUUUUACUUUAAUUGUAAUUGUACAAUGCAGUUUUGGCUUGUUCGAUUUUCAUUUUCGAGUAUUUACAUAUUUGAGAUCACUUUUCUCCAUAUCAGUGGACAAAUAAGAGGUUUCAGUGUCUAUUUG